Molecule: ribosomal RNA, 449 nt
Filed under: uncultured bacterium
Lineage: Bacteria
Description: SSU rRNA
Rfam family: Bacterial small subunit ribosomal RNA
Source: RNAcentral
AGAACGAACGCUGGCGGCAGGCUUAACACAUGCAAGUCGAACGCAUCUCUUCGGAGAUGAGUGGCAGACGGGUGAGUAACGCGUGGGAACGUACCCUUUGGUUCGGGAUAACCCGGGGGAAACUCGGGCUAAUACCGGAUAAGCCGGAAACGGGAAAGGUUUACUGCCGAAGGAUCGGCCCGCGUCGGAUUAGCUAGUUGGUGUGGUAACGGCGCACCAAGGCGACGAUCCGUAGCUGGUCUGAGAGGAUGAUCAGCCACACUGGGACUGAGACACGGCCCAGACUCCUACGGGAGGCAGCAGUGGGGAAUAUUGGACAAUGGGCGCAAGCCUGAUCCAGCCAUGCCGCGUGAGUGAUGAAGGCCCUAGGGUUGUAAAGCUCUUUUGUGCGGGAAGAUAAUGACGGUACCGCAAGAAUAAGCCCCGGCUAACUUCGUGCCAGCAGCCGC